GAUGAAGAACGCAGUGAAAUGCGAUAAGUAAUGCAAUUGCAGAUUUCAGUGAGUCAUCGAAUCUUUGAACGCACAUUGCGCCCGCCAGUAUUCUGGCGGGCAUGCCUGUUCGAGCGUCAUUUCAACCAUCAAGCCCCCGGGCUUGCGUUGGGGCCCUGCGGCUGCCGCAGGCCCCGAAAAGCAGUGGCGGGCUCGCUGUCACACCGAGCGCAGUAGCGAUUCUCGCUCCGGGCGUCGGCGGCGGGCACCGGCCGUGAAACCCCCCCACAUCCACAAGGUUGACCUCGGAUCAGGUAGGAAUACCCGCUGAACUUAAGCAUAUCAAUAAGCGGAGGA
Molecule: unclassified non-coding RNA, 336 nt
Filed under: soil metagenome
Description: partial contains 5.8S ribosomal RNA, internal transcribed spacer 2, and large subunit ribosomal RNA
Rfam family: 5.8S ribosomal RNA (bases 1-119)
Source: RNAcentral